This 1778-nucleotide unclassified non-coding RNA is filed under the name Hevea brasiliensis (rubber tree). Lineage: Eukaryota; Viridiplantae; Streptophyta; Magnoliopsida; Malpighiales; Euphorbiaceae. The record is from RNAcentral.
AAAUUAAAAAAGAAUUAUAGAAACAAACAAAAUCAUCCAUUUCUAGAGCUCUCUUCUUUCUAUCUGCAACUCAGCUCGCUCUCCACAGGUUGACUCAUGAAAGCUCUGGCCAACUCCUCUUCUUUGUCAAAGAUCGCAUCCGAAAGAUUUGGAGAUUGCCGAGAUUUUUGUCUCACUAGACAUCAAAUUGGUUUUUUCUCUUCCAAAAAACUUCUUAAUCUUGGGGCUUUUAUAUGCAUUAAACACAAGGCUCUUCACCCCAUUUCUGCUUCUAUCCCUCCUCUUUCCAAGUUGGGCUUGGAGGAUGCAGAGACCAAAACCCAAGAAACAUACCAAUCAAAGACCGUUCAUGUUAAAUUCCACCUAAAGAAAAAGUGUUCCUUUGGUGAGCAAUUUGCUCUAGUAGGGGACGAUCCCUUGUUUGGCGUGUGGGACCCUGCAAGUGCAAUACCAUUGAACUGGUCAGACGGUCAUGUUUGGACUCUUGAGCUGGAUAUGCCCAUUGGAAAAUCAAUCCAGUUCAAGUUCAUACUAAAAAAAAUUACUGGGAAGAUUUUGUGGCAACCAGGACCCGAUCGAGUUCUCAAAACCUGGGAAACUGAGAAUACAAUUGUUGUUUCAGAAGAUUGGGGAGAUGCUACCUUUCAGAAAUUAAUAGAGGAAGAAACGAUUUAUGAUCAAAAAGGGGAGCCUACUGUUGAUUCAGAAAUGCUGAUCGUUGCUGACAACUUGACUGCUAACUCAGAAAUGCUAGUUUUUGCUGAAGCCUUGACCCACCAAAAUGAGGAAUUAGCCUCUGAUGUCAAUUCUUACCCACCAAAGGAACCAUUACCACCGACUCCUGAGAAACCAAUCAUUGUUAAUAGCAUUCCUCCUCCAGAAGAGGAGCCCAUGUUUAUUGUUGCAGAUAAUAUCAGCUACACAAAGGAGGAUCCUGUUGUGCGAGCAAGUCACCAAGUGCUAGGUGUCCUUGGACGCAAUGAUGAGAAGGAUGAGAAUGAGGCUAUUUCAAAGGAGAAAGCAAUGAUAGCAGAGGAGAUUGUCGGAAAUAAUGGAAGAGCUUCAACAGAAAUUAAUUCAGCAAGUAUGACUGUGGAAGGAAAUCUGGUUACUCAUGAAGGAGAUCCUGUUCUGGUACCUGGAAUACCUCCAUUAUCAGUGUUUUCAAGCGAACCAGUAAUUCGUGAUGAAGGUGAGACAAACAGUGCCUUUGAUGCCGCAGUUGGAGUUAAUGAAGGUGAAACAAACAGUGCCUUUGAUGCCUCGGUUGGAGUUAACGAUGAAGUUAAGAAUCACAAUUUGCCAGAGAAAAAGUAGCAUGAAAUUGAUGAUGAUCUUCAUCAAACAGAAAAAGUAGAGGUGUUCAGUGAUCAGGNGGCAGCUUCACAAUGAACUUGAGCAAAAUCCACUAGCUGAUGAUGGAAAACAGCAAGAAUCAGAACCAACCGAAAAUGGUGUUUGGCAAAGUGACAUUCUAUGGGGUCGAAAAGCAAUACAGAAGCUGCUAAUUAAUUUAGGAUUUCUGUAGCAUAAGUGUUUAUGACUAUGCUAUUGCUACUUAAUCGCCUACCAUUUUCAAGUGGCUUGGCGAACAGGAGUGAUAUUGAGAUGAUUUUGGUAGCUAUCACAUUGUACAGAAGUUUGCAACUCAUUUGUGAUAUUGCUAUAGUUAAUCAUGUGUGGAUUGUUUUGUAUCGCCUAAUGUUGUUUGAUGUUUUAUGUAUACGGUGAGAGCAUUUUCUUGCACGACAUAGAGUGAGAAAAAGCUCUCAACGUAU